Molecule: ribosomal RNA, 477 nt
Filed under: Triticum aestivum (bread wheat)
Lineage: Eukaryota; Viridiplantae; Streptophyta; Magnoliopsida; Poales; Poaceae
Description: partial small subunit ribosomal RNA
Source: RNAcentral
AUGGAGGGGGAGCCGCCCGCGCAGGGCCCGCCCCCCAGCACCGCCGCUGCCUACGGCUCCGGCGGGGGCGGGGAGAAGGGUGCCCCGUGCCAGGAGUGCGGGGAGCAGCCGUGGAAGUACUGGUGCCCGGACUGCUCCCGCCUCACCUGCUGCCUCCCCUGCGUGCAGGCCCACAAGCGCUGCACCGCCUGCUUCGGCAAGCGCCCCUGCACCGUCCCCGUCCAGCUCGCCCAGUUCGACGGCAACCAGCUCCUCUCCGGUGAAAGAUUCAUGACGGAGCUGGAGAUCCUGGGCAUGAUCCUCUCGGCGCUGUCGGACGCCAAGAUACCGGAGAAAGAAUGCCUUCUCCCGCUCGUCUCCAAGCUCCUCGGCUACUGCAUCGUGGCCGCCUCCACCACCGUCAAGCUCCUGCAGGUUCGUUCCGUUCUUUGCCUUUUGUUGGUGAUUUCUCAAGAUUACAGCAUUGGGCACCCGUAG